Molecule: ribosomal RNA, 1017 nt
Filed under: Mycobacterium sp. URHB0041
Lineage: Bacteria; Bacillati; Actinomycetota; Actinomycetes; Mycobacteriales; Mycobacteriaceae
Description: bacterial SSU rRNA
Rfam family: Bacterial small subunit ribosomal RNA
Source: RNAcentral
UGGCAGUCGAACGGAAAGGNCCUUCGGGGUACUCGAGUGGCGAACGGGUGAGUAACACGUGGGUGAUCUGCCCUGCACUUCGGGAUAAGCCUGGGAAACUGGGUCUAAUACCGGAUAUGACUACGGAUCGCAUGGUCUGUGGUGGAAAGCUUUUGCGGUGUGGGAUGGGCCCGCGGCCUAUCAGCUUGUUGGUGGGGUUAAGGCCUACCAAGGCGACGACGGGUAGCCGGCCUGAGAGGGUGACCGGCCACACUGGGACUGAGAUACGGCCCAGACUCCUACGGGAGGCAGCAGUGGGGAAUAUUGCACAAUGGGCGCAAGCCUGAUGCAGCGACGCCGCGUGAGGGACGACGGCCUUCGGGUUGUAAACCUCUUUCAGCACAGACGAAGCGCAAGUGACGGUAUGUGCAGAAGAAGGACCGGCCAACUACGUGCCAGCAGCCGCGGUAAUACGUAGGGUCCGAGCGUUGUCCGGAAUUACUGGGCGUAAAGAGCUCGUAGGUGGUUUGUCGCGUUGUUCGUGAAAACUCACAGCUCAACUGUGGGCGUGCGGGCGAUACGGGCAGACUGGAGUACUGCAGGGGAGACUGGAAUUCCUGGUGUAGCGGUGGAAUGCGCAGAUAUCAGGAGGAACACCGGUGGCGAAGGCGGGUCUCUGGGCAGUAACUGACGCUGAGGAGCGAAAGCGUGGGGAGCGAACAGGAUUAGAUACCCUGGUAGUCCACGCCGUAAACGGUGGGUACUAGGUGUGGGUUUCCUUCCUUGGGAUCCGUGCCGUAGCUAACGCAUUAAGUACCCCGCCUGGGGAGUACGGCCGCAAGGCUAAAACUCAAAGAAAUUGACGGGGGCCCGCACAAGCGGCGGAGCAUGUGGAUUAAUUCGAUGCAACGCGAAGAACCUUACCUGGGUUUGACAUGCACAGGACGUGCCUAGAGAUAGGUAUUCCCUUGUGGCCUGUGUGCAGGGGUGCAUGGCUGUCGUCAGCUCGUGUCGUGAGAUGUUGGGUUAAGUCCCGCA